GCUUUAGUCGUUCAAAGGUUAGGAUAACAGGUUUUCACCCUGUUGAUUCAGGUUCGAUUCCUGACUAAAGCG
RNAcentral lists this transfer RNA (72 nucleotides) under Candidatus Riesia sp. RNAcentral describes it as "tRNA-Glu". It matches the Rfam family "tRNA". From Rfam's summary of the family: Transfer RNA (tRNA) molecules are approximately 80 nucleotides in length. Their secondary structure includes four short double-helical elements and three loops (D, anti-codon, and T loops). Lineage: Bacteria; Pseudomonadati; Pseudomonadota; Gammaproteobacteria; Enterobacterales; Enterobacteriaceae. The record is from RNAcentral.